CUGAAGAACACGUACGAUUUCCGUCACAAAUUUCCGUCAAACUUCAGCUGAAGAACAGAUUUUCAGCUAAAUAACUGAAGAACAAUACGCUUUCUCUGAAGAAGAACUGAAGAACACCAUUUUCAUCUUGCAGAUUCCUUGUUGAAGAUUGAAGAGCGGAAGAACACGAUUUCCUCACAGAUUCCUUGUUGAAGAGUUGUUCCAUCAGAUUUCUUGUUGAAAAUUGAACAAAAUGCUUCACAGAUGAACUUGCCUCACGUCUUAAAGAUUUAGGGUUGUUGGAAUAGAGUUUAUCAGCUGAAGUUCUCUGAAGAACUGAGCUGAAGCUAAGUCGUCUUUCUCUGAAAACUAAAAAGCUGAAGCUGGCGAUAACUACGAUUCUCGUCUCCCUAAUACAGAUUUCGUCAAGAAAGAGGAGAAUAAGAAUGAAUU
This is a long non-coding RNA of Solanum tuberosum (potato), 432 nucleotides long. RefSeq lists it as uncharacterized. Lineage: Eukaryota; Viridiplantae; Streptophyta; Magnoliopsida; Solanales; Solanaceae. The record is from RefSeq and is a predicted model, not a curated record. The transcript is spliced from 3 exons.